GGUAUUAUCUUUAUAUAUGAAAGAAAAAUUCUGUAUUUAAGACCACACAGUGUUGGUAUGAGUUAGUGUUAACCUUAAUUUAUUUCUGAACCAGGAGUUUUUGCCCUUCCUGCAUCCUGCUUUGAGAUGGAAAAAAUGAGGCAUUGAAAAAUUAAAGCCUAAUGAGCUUUUAAUCAGUGGCAAGCCCAUUUAUGGUAGCAAUAAUAGAACAUUCACUUCCUUCCCAGCUAUCCUUUACUUACAUCUGUAUUUCUGAAAGAUGGUGUUGAAAUUUCAGGAUAUGGAUGCAGAGUUGGAGGCAGGAGCAACGCUUCAGAGAAAAUGAAACGCAGAGGAUGGAGAAAAAGCAAAGAAACCUCUGAAAUCGAGGCAGUUCACUCUGAGACAGGCAAUGCACAGGAAUAAAGAAAACCCAUUCUGUAGUUUCAGAAUAUUACACUUGGAUAGAAGGGAAGGCUAUGGAAAACAGUUUAAAUGAUCUAUGGCAAUGUAAUGCUAAAGAUCUGGACAGGUUCUGGAGGGACUUGGGACACAAAGGGAAAAGAAUCUGCAAAAUAUUAAGCUGCUUAUUAGAAAUCUAAAGGAAGACAAGUACAGGCAGGCUGGGGGAAAUUUUGCUCAAUGUUCAUUUUUGUGGCUGAUAAGCUGCUCAGAGAAUUUUUAGAAGCUUUUGUCCUUUUCUUUUCUCCCCCCCUUUUUUUGGCUUUUAUUUUCUUUUCUUCUGUAAUUUUUUUUUUUACUACAGUGGUGUUUGGGUAAUGAUUCCUGUGGAGCACAAGAUGCUUCUCUUUGUGGAAACCUGGGCUUUUCUUUACAUAAACAAUGCCAAGGAGUUUAGGUCUCUGAAGGUGUAUCCAGCACUGAUGGAUGAUGCUGUGGAUUUCUUGAGCUCUCAGGUCCACAGAGAGACAGAUCAGCAAAAGGAGCCUGCAGGGGAAGCUGAGGAGUAGGGGAAAGCAGGAAAAAGAAAAAAAGGAAAUUAUGCUAAAAAUAUAAAAUACAACCAGCCCUAGGCUGAUGCCAGCCUGGUACAGCAGGUCUGCACCUUGAGAGAAAUCAAGAUU
RNAcentral lists this long non-coding RNA (1064 nucleotides) under Cyanistes caeruleus (blue tit). RNAcentral describes it as "lncRNA (ENSCCEG00000018128.1)". Lineage: Eukaryota; Metazoa; Chordata; Aves; Passeriformes; Paridae. The record is from RNAcentral.